Molecule: ribosomal RNA, 234 nt
Filed under: Triticum aestivum (bread wheat)
Lineage: Eukaryota; Viridiplantae; Streptophyta; Magnoliopsida; Poales; Poaceae
Description: partial small subunit ribosomal RNA
Source: RNAcentral
AUGAAAAUUAUCAGCUGGAACUACCGGGGGCUCCGGAAUGGCUCGGCAGUUCGGAGCCUCCUCGAUUUGGGGAGGGCGGAGGAUCCUGAUGUGCUUUUUCUAGCGAAGACAAGACUGACGAUAAAGGAGUUGGACUACCUAAGGUGGUCACUGGGGCUCGUUCACUUGCUUGCUUGGGACCCGGAGGGUAGAAGUAGAGGUAUUGCGAUGUUUUGGAGGAGGGGAGUGGAAUGA